This 2968-nucleotide long non-coding RNA is filed under the name Ostreococcus sp. 'lucimarinus'. RNAcentral describes it as "long non-coding RNA (OLUC_LNC000044)". The record is from RNAcentral. Lineage: Eukaryota; Viridiplantae; Chlorophyta; Mamiellophyceae; Mamiellales; Bathycoccaceae.
GUCGCCGGAAAUGCCGCGAAUCUCGUCGCCGACUUUCGUGAUGGCGCGCGCGCUGUACGCGCCUCUUGCCCAGUUGUUCCCGCCUUGAGUACGUUUGAGGUAGCCCUGUUUGCCGUCCGUCGUCAUGCCCUGCGAAAGUCCGACCCACUCGAUGAGAUCCAAGUCGUUCGCACCCUCGUGGACAGUCUGUAUCCAGGAGACUCGAGAGAAAGACGCGCCUGCAGUGUUGAAGCGCGCGGUGGCGUAGAGCGGGAAGGCAGGCGCCUCAUCAGACGUCGCAAACGCCGCGCCAUCCUUGUAGUACGUGACGACGCCCGAGUCGAGCACGACCACUUGGAACGUCUCACCGACGAAGUAAUCGCCAAAGUCGCCGUCGCGCACGACGCCGUGUUCGGAGAUGCGGAUCACGCCGUUGUCGCACACAAUGCCGAAGUCGACCACCUCGUCGACGGAGUUCGUCGAGCCAGAGUUCAAGCCAAUCAUCAUGGACUUGUCCGUUUGGUCGCAAUCCGCGGAGACGCCACGCACUUCGUCGCCGAUCUUCGUGAUGGCACGUUUGCUCGUGGCGCCGACGUUCCAGCCACUGCCUGCCAUUGUGCGCGUCACUUGGCCCGCGGAAGACUCGACGCCUUCCGCGUCUUCAAACUCCAUGGCCGCCAAGUCGUUCGCGCCCUUGACAACCUUGUGAACCCAGCGCGCGUUGGCCAGCUCUGCGAGGUGGUUGUGAAACGACGUGUCCGCGUAGAGCGGGAAAGAAGGCGACGUCAAGCUCGUGUACUUGAGAUCGCCGUCGACGUAGAACUCAAUCGCGCCCGCGUCGUUCACGAUCACUUGGAAAGUCUCACCCGCGACGAAGACGCCGGCAUCGAACUUGUUCACGCCCUUCUCUUGGAAUCGGACCUGAUUGCCGUUGCAGAACACGGCGUAGUCGAUGGUCGUUUGGCUGUGGCCCGAGGGCGUGCUCGACAAGCCAAACUGCAAGUGCCUGUUGUCGGUGCGCAUGCAGUCGCCGGAAAUGCCGCGAACCUCGUCGCCGACUUUCGUGAUGGCGCGCGCGCUGUACGCACCUCUUGCCCAGUUGUUCCCGCCUUGAGUACGUUUGAGGUAGCCCUGUUUGCCGUCCGUCGUCAUGCCCUGCGAAAGUCCGACCCACUCGAUGAGAUCGAGAUCCCGUGAACCUUUAUGAACAACUUUUAUCCACUUCACAUUUUCGAGGUGUCCUCCACCUUCAUCAACGUAUCCAUCGGCAAACAAUGGGAAGAUCGGUUCUCUGCUACUAUUGUAGACAGAAUGUCCUUCUUUAUAAUAGUGAACGAUACCCUCGUCAUUAAAUGCGACCUGGAACGUUUCUCCCGCGAGGUAUGUUCCGAUCGUGGCCAUAAGCUCACCGUCUUCGUAAACUUCCAUUGUUCCGGCAUUGCAACCAACGGCAUACUCAAUAGCAUCGCCAUCCGAGGGUGUGUAAUGAGCGCUGCUCAAACCGAAUAUCAUUUUCGUUGUUGUGUCACUGCAAUCCGCAGAAAUACCGCGAACUUCGUCAUAAAUUUUAGUUACGGCGCGUUUACUUGUCGAGCGCACAAUGUCCAUUUUUUCAGGUGUAACCGGCAAGUACACGUCGCCGUGUGACACUUCACAUCGCUGGACUGUUUCAAAGUCCAUCAUGUUUAGCCAAUGCAUGUGGCUUAGCUUCGCACCUUCGGUGAAGAUUCGAGCCUGGGAGUAAAGAGGGAAUUCAACACUUUUAGUGCUGACAUGAAGAACAUUACCAUUUUGCAGAUACUCGAUGACACCAUGCUCGUUGAUGACGAUAGAAAAUGUCUCUCCAGGGCUGUACGCCGAAGGAGGCUCGACAAUGCGCUCGUGCCUUUGGAAGGCUGACGCAUUGUGUUGGUCAUUUAUGUAUUCGGGUGAAUCACUAUCCAAUGAAUCAAGUGCCAAGUCUGGCGAAGUACCAAGAUGUGUUGAAGGCGGUGGACCUUGAGCAUCGUUCUCCGGGGUCGGGACUUGAAGUUGGCCUUCAAUCCCAUGUGGUGUAUUCGGCUCGGGACGUCGAUGUGGCUCGAUUGUUUUGAUGACAACUCCAUCUUCAAGGAGACGCAACGUUCCGGCAUCACAGUAUAUCGCAAAGGACAGGUUCGUCUGCGCCGGAGCAGUAGCGGUUUCAUUCGCAGCGGUUUCAUUCAACUGAGCAUCUUGAUCACCUUGCACCAUGAGUCCAAACAUCAUCUGUGACUUGUUGUCGGAACAAUCGGCAGACACGCCUUUUUUGGUGUCAUUCCAACCGCGAAUUGAUGAACGACUCGUUGCGAAAGCAAGUAAUGAAGCUUCUUCGAUGCGUUUUGCCGCCUCUUCACUCAACACGUGAGCGAGAGAUCCAGGUGUAAGAGUCGCAUUCUCAGGUAGAAGGAACUCAACAGGCUCAAGGUCAUCGGCACCUUCAAUGAUUCGGUAAACCCAGCGCGCGUUGGCCAGCUCUGCGAGGUGGUUGUGAAACGACGUGUCGGCGUAGAGCGGGAAAGAAGGCGACGUCAAGCUCGUGUACUUGAGAUCGCCGUCGACGUAGAACUCAAUCGCGCCCGCGUCGUUCACGAUCACUUGGAAAGUCUCACCCGCGACGAAGACGCCGGCAUCGAACUUGUUCACGCCCUUCUCUUGGAAUCGGACCUGAUUGCCGUUGCAGAACACGGCGUAGUCGAUGGUCGUUUGGCUGUGGCCCGAGGGCGUGCUCGACAAGCCAAACUGCAAGUGCCUGUUGUCGGUGCGCAUGCAGUCGCCGGAAAUGCCGCGAAUCUCGUCGCCGACUUUCGUGAUGGCGCGCGCGCUGUACGCGCCUCUUGCCCAGUUGUUCCCGCCUUGAGUACGUUUGAGGUAGCCCUGUUUGCCGUCCGUCGUCAUGCCCUGCGAAAGUCCGACCCACUCGAUGAGAUCCAAGUCGUUCGCACCCUCGUGGACAGUCUGUAUCCAGGAG